GAUUAACGCUGGCGGCGUGCCUAACACAUGCAAGUCGAACGAGGUAGCAAUACCUAGUGGCAGACGGGUGAGUAACGCGUGGUCAACCUACCGUUGAGUGGGGGAUAACUAGCCGAAAGGUUAGCUAAUACCGCAUACGUCUCCGAGUGGCAUCACUUGGCGAUAAAAAGGAGCAAAUCCGCUCGAUGACGGGACCGCGUCCCAUUAGCUAGAUGGUGGGGUAACGCCUACCANGGCACCGAUGGGUAGCUGGUUUGAGAGAGCGACCAGCCACACUGGGACUGAGAAACGGCCCAGACUCCUACGGGAGGCAGCAGUGAGGAAUUUUCCGCAAUGGGCGCAAGCCUGACGGAGCGACGCCGCGUGUGGGAAGAAGGCCU
RNAcentral lists this ribosomal RNA (380 nucleotides) under uncultured bacterium. RNAcentral's name for it is "bacterial SSU rRNA". It matches the Rfam family "Bacterial small subunit ribosomal RNA", at positions 28 to 417 of the family's 1533-position model. The record is from RNAcentral.